This 351-nucleotide long non-coding RNA is filed under the name Mytilus galloprovincialis (Mediterranean mussel). The record is from RNAcentral. Lineage: Eukaryota; Metazoa; Mollusca; Bivalvia; Mytilida; Mytilidae.
UUGUUGAAUUUCCAUCAAACUUGAUCGUGAAAGAUCAGGCAACGUAUUAUUUCGAUCGUGAAAGAAAAUGCGUGACCAGACUUAAUACUAGUAAUCAGAAAUCAGUAUUUCUUUUACCAUUUGAUAAAUCUGCAAGUGGUUGAAGCCUGUAACUAUUUUGAUAAGGAUGAACAUUAAAGCUAUUAUCUUUUUUUCUAUUCAACACUUUACCUCGAAAGUUAAAAAAAACAACAAGUAAUAACGUGUCUAAAUAAGUGAGAAAGAUUCAGCUCUGUGAAUCGGUCUAGUGCACUUCAGGCAGACCGACUCUAGUUAGCCAAUAAUAUGGAUAUGCAACGUUUAAACCAAAAU